RNAcentral lists this transfer RNA (73 nucleotides) under Ailuropoda melanoleuca (giant panda). It matches the Rfam family "tRNA". From Rfam's summary of the family: Transfer RNA (tRNA) molecules are approximately 80 nucleotides in length. Lineage: Eukaryota; Metazoa; Chordata; Mammalia; Carnivora; Ursidae. The record is from Rfam by way of RNAcentral.
GACUGGCUGGCCCGGUUGGUAGAGCAUGUGACUCUUGAUCUCAGGGUUGUGAGUUCAAGUCCCAUGUUGGGCA